This 582-nucleotide ribosomal RNA is filed under the name uncultured bacterium. RNAcentral's name for it is "bacterial SSU rRNA". It matches the Rfam family "Bacterial small subunit ribosomal RNA", at positions 102 to 680 of the family's 1533-position model. The record is from RNAcentral.
ACGGGUGAGUAAUGUCUGGGAAACUGCCUGAUGGAGGGGGAUAACUACUGGAAACGGUAGCUAAUACCGCAUAACGUCGCAAGACCAAAGAGGGGGACCUUCGGGCCUCUUGCCAUCAGAUGUGCCCAGAUGGGAUUAGCUAGUAGGUGGGGUAACGGCUCACCUAGGCGACGAUCCCUAGCUGGUCUGAGAGGAUGACCAGCCACACUGGAACUGAGACACGGUCCAGACUCCUACGGGAGGCAGCAGUGGGGAAUAUUGCACAAUGGGCGCAAGCCUGAUGCAGCCAUGCCGCGUGUAUGAAGAAGGCCUUCGGGUUGUAAAGUACUUUCAGCGGGGAGGAAGGUGUUGCGGUCAAUAACCGCAGCAAUUGACGUUACCCGCAGAAGAAGCACCGGCUAACUCCGUGCCAGCAGCCGCGGUAAUACGGAGGGUGCAAGCGUUAAUCGGAAUUACUGGGCGUAAAGCGCACGCAGGCGGUCUGUCAAGUCGGAUGUGAAAUCCCCGGGCUCAACCUGGGAACUGCAUUCGAAACUGGCAGGCUAGAGUCUUGUAGAGGGGGGUAGAAUUCCAGGUGUAGCG